RNAcentral lists this long non-coding RNA (301 nucleotides) under Rattus norvegicus (Norway rat). RNAcentral describes it as "long non-coding RNA NONRATT003051". The record is from RNAcentral. Lineage: Eukaryota; Metazoa; Chordata; Mammalia; Rodentia; Muridae.
GCCCACUUGCCACUGUCCAGGCCCUUCUACCUGGACCCCAUGGUUACUGUCCACCUAUGCCCCGACGCCCCGGUGCCGGCCCCUUACACGGACGAGCUGCCUCUGCUGCCCUUUUCCAGUGACACCCUGAUCAUGGACAAUUACGGGGACCCAUACCCCUUCCCCUUCCCUAUGCCUUACACCAACUACAGGCGCUGUGACUAUACCUAUGGGCCGGCCUUCAUCCGCAAGAGGAACGAGCGAGAGAGGCAGCGAGUCAAGUGUGUGAACGAAGGCUAUGCCCGGCUGCGACGGCACCUGC